Molecule: long non-coding RNA, 3328 nt
Organism: Vulpes vulpes (red fox)
Lineage: Eukaryota; Metazoa; Chordata; Mammalia; Carnivora; Canidae
Source: Ensembl
CAUCAGGGCUGGGCGGGGCCAGAGGGGGAGGAACUGUCAGGAUUGGGCGGGGCCAGAGAGAGCUGGGGUGGGAAGGUGACCUCAGGGUUAGGAGAGAGCCAGAGGGAGCUUCCAGAGGAGGAGCUGUGAGGGCUGGGCCUUGAAUCCUACUUGAUGGGUGAGGGGCAGCAGGCAAAGCAGGGCACAUGAGGGUCCAUCAGCCACGGACCAGGGACAGAGGUUCAGAAGCAGUCUGCCAGGCCGUGAAAUCCUCAAACAUCAGUUGCCACGAUGCCAUUCUUCCACAGUUCAGACUGUUCCAUUCACUCACUCACUCACUAAAUACAUAUUGAGCACCUGUUCUUUGCCAGACGUUGGAUACAGUACAGAAGACAGUGAGCAUCCUUGUCCUCAAGAGCCUUAUGUCCUAAGAGAAGGGCAAAGAUACAGAGCUCUGGAGGCCAGCCUGCCUCACUCAGGAAGCCCCCAGGGCUCUGAGUUGCUGGACCUGAUUGGCUGGGUCACCCACGUCGUUUCCCUCAUUGGCUGACUGCCAGUGAUCAGCACCUGUCCUCUCCUUUCUGUCUGGAUCAGAUCUGCUUCAUGGAAGACCCCUAGGGUAGCAGUGCUGGCUGGAAAAUGUAUGGAAGGGAGAGGGCCUAGAAAGAGCUGUUGCCUGGACCAGGAUAAUGUAGUGGGGUUAGAGAGAGACCGAUGGGUUCCACAUGUUACGGAAGGUAGAUUAACCAAGCUCUCAUACAAUCCUCCCAAAUAGUAAUAAUAUCAUUCCCAUUUUACAGAUAAGAAAACUGAGGUUCAGAGAAACUAAACUAUGUGUCCAAAGUCACACAGCUGAGUAGGUGAUUAAUGGAAUCUGGAGUGGGAGUUGCUGUGGAUGGCCCAGGUCUCUGGACAGGCUGAUUCCUAAGAUGGGAAGCACAGGCAGGGAGUGCAUUCAGCAAGAGGAGGCGGCUGACAUCCAGGCCCAUCACAACCUGACCCACGACCUGGGGUCUGGCCUUGUCCCAUUCAUCUCCUGUCCCUCUUGGACGUCUUUAUGUUUCAGUCUUUGGCUCUUCUGUCAAGGCCUCCCCCUUAAUCCUGAGAUCAUCCCUGAGGAGGCAGCCUGAGGUCUGUCAGCAGAGAGGGCUGCAGGACGUUAGUCCUACGCGGAGCGCCCGGUGUCUGAAAGGUCUGACACCGUACUCACUGGAUUCAAAUCCUAGCUCUUCUGCUCAGUAGCUAUGUGACCUUGGAUAACUGACUUAAUCUCUCUGUGUCAUGGUUUCCUGACUUGUAAAUUGUGGAUGAUGAUAGCAUCUGCUUCGGGGUUUUGAUGAUUGAACAAGCACGUACCCAUAAAGUAGGAGACUUUUAUGCACUCAGUAAGGAUCGGCUAUUAUCAUUCCUACUAAUUUUAUAUAAUUAUUAUUGGAUUAACUGAGCCCUCUUAGCUGAGCUCGAGGCUCAACUCUCCUGCCCUGUGAUACUUCAAGCUCCUCCACAGACUGGAGCCCUUACCUGACUCUCAGCCCUCCUGGCCAGACCCUGACCCUGUUGUCCCCUUAACAAGAAACAUGUACUUUGCCCCCACAAGCCCAUCUCAGCCAUGGAUCUCAGGUGCGUCUGGAUGCCUAAUCCCAGCUUAGGUGCUGCUUGCCCCUGACUGCCUGGGUCCAGCCUGCUGAACCUCAGAAACCUCCAUCCUCAGCCCUCCCUGAAGCCCACUGUAGCUUGGGCAUCAGGCAGCUGGCCAGCCCUUCAGCCAGCCUUCCACGCCCACAGUGACCUGUGCCGUGUGCAGAAUCUAACCUCACAUCCCACCCAAGCCCUCUGGCAGUAGCAGGAUGAAGAUGAGAAUGUCAGAGAGAGAAAAUCUGAAACAAGCCUCGGGAAUGCACGUCAUCCUCUGCUUGUCUGCGUCCAGGGGCAGCCUCACUCUACAUCCUUAGUCGAGGGGUGGUCAACAACAUGGCUUCAGUUUGAGCAGGAGUGCGGAGGUCCAGGAACUGUGCCAACAUGAGAUCGGGAAAUUACAGAUUCAUUGUGUGCCACUCCCUUCUAGAACGUGAGCCCCAGUGGAGCAAGCACAUGCCUUCCUUAUUCACUCCUUAGUGUCCAUAGUAGAUGCUCAAGAAACACUUGCAGAAUGAAUGAGGCAAACAGAGUUGCUCCUGCACUGUCUGCUUCCUACCCCCUUCCAUCCAGGCUUGGGCACUGUUUUUGUUUUUGCUUAAGAUUUUAUUUAUUUAUUUAUUCAUGAGAGAUACACAGAAAGAGGCAGAGACACAGGCAGAGGGAGAAGCAGGCUCCCUGUGGGGAGCCUGACUCAGGACUUGAUCCCAGGACCCCAGAAUUAUGAUCUGAGCCAAAGGCAAACUCAACUACUGAGCCACCAAGGAACCCCAGGGCACCAAUUUUUUAAGGAGAGUGGCAACUUGGCCAUGGCCACACCAUGGGUGUGGCACCAGGACCAGGGGAGAAGAGGCAAGCUUCUAGCCCUUUGAUGCCAGGGCUGAAGUAAUUGAUAAUGACACCUAAACAUUUAUUGGAAAUUGUUCUGGGCCAGGGGCUAGGCACUGUCAGCCUAAAUUAGCAUCUUCCACCUGCCCAAGCAUACAAGGUAGGUAUUACUAUUAUUAUUUUCCCAUUUUGUAGACGAAGAAGGAAGGCACUGGGUGAUGAACAACAGCCCAAAGUCACAAGGCGUUCCGUGGCAGCACUAGCCUUGAAGCCAGGUGGCAGCAGGGUCUGGACUUGGCACCUCUCUCUGCUGCUCUACUGCCUCCCUCCUCUCCGGCCCCAUCCCCAGUUUCGGAGGGUUUUAGCUUUUUUCCCCACUCUGCUUGCAGCUUUGGGGAAGGCUGACCAAGGCCUUCUAUUGUCAGUAGAUUGAGUUUCUGCCCCAGCCUCUCAUUUACCAGCCAUAUGACCUGGGGGAAAUGAUGCCACGUUCCUCAGUCUGCUGUUCUAUAAGAUGGGGAUAAGGGAAGCCCUUCUGUGGGGCUGUCCCGCAGAUUCAAAAGGCAGCAGAGGGCGGACUACAGAACAGGUCCUAAUUCUUUCCUCCCAGUUGUGAGAUGUUACUUCCCUUUUGGCUCUAGCACAGGGCGAAUAUGGGCUUUGGGACUUGAAAAGCGCAAAGAAUGUCCCAAACACUGGGAAACACUGAACUCUAAAGCCUGUGCUUUGGGUGGUCAUCACGCCCACCCUGGGGGAAGGCCUGACCUCACAGGGGCCUUUGCUGUUUUCAUUUUAUUAGUAGGACUUGAAACAGAGUUCCAUUCCCAGGGAAAACUCUCCUGAAAGCAGAAAUAAAAACAGAACGCCCCCUCUCUGCUAGAGGGGU